This 157-nucleotide ribosomal RNA is filed under the name Pyrenula astroidea. RNAcentral's name for it is "5.8S ribosomal RNA". It matches the Rfam family "5.8S ribosomal RNA". Rfam says of the family: 5.8S ribosomal RNA (5.8S rRNA) is a component of the large subunit of the eukaryotic ribosome. Lineage: Eukaryota; Fungi; Ascomycota; Eurotiomycetes; Pyrenulales; Pyrenulaceae. The record is from RNAcentral.
AAACUUUCAACAACGGAUCUCUUGGUUCUGGCAUCGAUGAAGAACGCAGCGAAAUGCGAUAAGUAAUGCGAAUUGCAGACACCGUGAGUCAUCGAAUCUUUGAACGCACAUUGCGCCCUUUGGUAUUCCGAAGGGCAUACCUGUUCGAGCGUCAUUA